AACAAAGUCGCUAGGUUUGCAACUACGUGUCCCAGACUGCAUCCCUGCUGAGAGUCCCUCCCUCCCUUCUCAUGUUGCAGGAAGAACGUAAGCGCCCCCCUUGUCAAUCAGUCACCAUAUAAUUUUGGAUUGGUUGUUGUGGUGAAGUUUUCCACCAAUAGGAGAGAUGUUGUGGUGUGUUUUUUUUUUCUUUUGGCAAGCCUUUUCCGCCUGUAAGAGCUGUCGCUAAUGUCUGCAUGCUAUGUUUUCCUGUCUCAUACAGCGCGAUCGAGCGCCGAACGUGAUCAAAAUAAGCAGAAAAAAAGUAUCGCGGACAUAAUUUAUCAUAACUCUGGUUUUAUUUGGCCUAUCAACACAAUUUAAAAACUGGUAUAUAGGUUGAGGUCCUCACUUUUGAGAUAAGUUGAAACGGAGAGUCAACGAGGCUCCGUCUUGCAGCUACAUCCGGUUAAAUAUGUCAUGUGACUUGAACGCACACACAGACACACACACACGCACACACACACACACACACACACACACACACACACACACACACACACACACACACACACACUCAGAGUCUGGUUUUUAGCACCUGCAAAAACAUGCUAUUUACAUAUUUGACAAGAAUGCAGAGGCUCCUUUUGCCCCUGAAAAAAAUCAAAUUUCAAACACAACUUGACUGGUCAUUUCUCCAAAAGACAACCAUGAAGCUCCAUCCAAACCUGAAGCAGGCAGUCGGUGCAUGUGUACAGUAACCUGAGGGGAGUGAGGUGAGUGCUUCUGAGGAGAACAUGAGCAGUGAAGAUUCACCUUGGAGCUAGAACAGAGACAUGCACAUGAUUAUACAGGGGCAGGGGCUCAAGUUUUUUCCAGUCGUUUAUACAAUAUGGAAAUUAAUGUGAAAUUAAAACACAAAGUAUUAAUAGAAAGGUAAUGACUGUCCUGUGUAGGUGACAGUGAUAUCCAAUAGGCUAGGCACUCACGAGGCUGGCUGUGGCAAGUGUAAGUGAAAGCAACACGCACUGGCAGGAAGAACAGCAAACGCAGAUGAAGGAAAAGGGUCUUUGCAGUGAUGGGCGUUACCAGAGAGGGCGAUGGCCAGAGGACACAAAUGGGACGGGGAGGCAGCACGUUGGGGGGGGGGGGGGGGGGGACGCGACACGGCUCGGGCCCGCCAGUGCCCCAACGGGGUCCUAGUUAUUUUUCCUCCGCUUUAAACUGGAAAAUGGCCCACUUCCCACUGGCGAAAACUCAGGAAAUUUGGCAGGACGACCGGGCCUGGUGAAAAAUUCGAUAUUCUGAAGUCGCCCAAACAAAAAAAUGAAAAAUGGCUCCAUAGCGCCCCCUAUGGUGAAAACUCACCUGACGCCUGUACGCUUUGUCAAAAUGACACAAAAUUUGACACACAUGUGUAUCUCAAUAAGAUCUACGAAAAAGUCAGUGCGGGCGCAUCUGUGAAAUGUACGGUUAGAGGGUUAUUUCGCAUUUUUUGCAGAUCUGCACACAUUGGAAUUUCGCUAACUCCUCCGAAGGCAUUCGUUCCACCGGCACCACAUUUGCUCAGGCCAAUCUACACCCCAUGGCCAUUAAAAGUUGUACAAAUCAUGACGCUGCACCCCACGGUUUACGUUCUAGGGGGCGCCAAAGAUAACCCACAAAUCCACAUUCUUAAAAAUCUUAUAACUUUUUAUUUUUGUCCUCAUUGGCCUCCAAGUUUUCUAGGAUGAUGCAAUGUCCAGCCAUCAACACAUUUGUGAAGGAAUUUUUACUCCCCAAAACAGCGCCCCCCCCCCCAUGGCAGGACAAAAAAGGCCAUUUUUUCUUGUCCCCUAAGGUGAAAAUACACAUUGUUCAGUGUCACGCCUAUACGCUUUGUCAUAUUGACACAAAAUUUGACACACACGUGUAUCUCAAUAAGAUCUACGAAAAAGUCAAUGGGCACAUAUCUGUAAAAUGUACGGUUAAAGGGCUAUCUUGCAUUUUUUGCCGAUUCGCACACAUUGGAAUGUGGCUAACUCCUCCUAAGGCUUUCGUUCUACUGACACCAAAUUUGCUCAGGCCAAUCUACACCCCAUGGCCAUUCAAAGUUGUACAAAUCAUGACGCUGCACCCCACGGUUUAGGUUCUAGGGGGCGCCAAAGAUGACCCAAAUAUCCACAUUUUUAAAAGUCUUAUAACUUUUUAUUUUUGUCCUCACUGGCCUCCAAGUUUUCUAGGAUGAUGCAAUGUGCAGCCAUCAACACAUCUGUGAAGGAAUUUUUUCUCCCCAAAAGAGCGCCCCCCCCCCCCCAUGGCAGGAGAAAAAGUCAAGUUUUUCCAGCCCAUCGCUUAAUGGCUCAAACGCAUUGCUCUCCCGCUAAAACCAAAAGGAGGAGCAACUUGCCAUUUGGAUAUGUCCUAGCUGUGUUUGUGCCCUCACUCAUGGUCCAGAGUUUUUUCAAAUAGGACAUGUAGUUUGUCUGCAGCGAGCGUUUUGGUAGAAACUGUGCCUCCCAUUCAUUAUAAUGGGAAAUGACCAAAGACAGGUGCGCACACCAUCUUUGGACCUUGACUUUGACGUCACAGUUUGAGAUACAAAUGUUAUUUGACCUCUGACCUUUGGUGGACACCCUAACCUU
This is a non-coding RNA of Xyrichtys novacula (pearly razorfish), 2603 nucleotides long. The record is from the annotation of a GenBank genome assembly. NCBI's taxonomy places the organism in Eukaryota, Metazoa, Chordata, Actinopteri, Labriformes, Labridae.